Molecule: unclassified non-coding RNA, 359 nt
Filed under: Basidiomycota sp.
Lineage: Eukaryota; Fungi; Basidiomycota
Description: partial contains small subunit ribosomal RNA and internal transcribed spacer 1
Rfam family: Eukaryotic small subunit ribosomal RNA (bases 1-47)
Source: RNAcentral
AAAGUCGUAACAAGGUUUCCGUAGGUGAACCUGCGGAAGGAUCAUUAACACUAACUUUCUUAUCAACCUAGGUGCAUUCGUCUGAACCUUUUCAUUCAGGGGUCGACUAGACAAUGGUUGGAUUCGGUCUAGUCUGCUGUAAGUCAGCCCGUCUUCUCUAAUCGGAAGGCGAUCGGUCUGUCGCUCUGUCUUAGAAGGUAUACAGUCUCAACCAUGGCUGGCCCUUUUUUUUUUAAACCUUGAACUUUGUACUGAUUUGGGCUUUCGAUAGAGAGGAGCAAUCCUUUCUCGAAGCUUUUGAUGGAGUAAUCCAUUAAUUAACCAAAACACAACUCUUAACAGUGGAUAUCUCGGUUCUC